UGGAAAAAAGUGAUGACUUCCUCCUUACCC
This 30-nucleotide non-coding RNA is filed under the name Mus musculus (house mouse). Lineage: Eukaryota; Metazoa; Chordata; Mammalia; Rodentia; Muridae. The record is from RNAcentral.